Molecule: long non-coding RNA, 1384 nt
Filed under: Pan troglodytes (chimpanzee)
Lineage: Eukaryota; Metazoa; Chordata; Mammalia; Primates; Hominidae
Description: long non-coding RNA NONPTRT005414
Source: RNAcentral
CACCCGCCCAACACAUACUUAUUGACUCUCUACUACAGGCUUUCUCAACCUCAACACGUGACUUUUGGGAUGGAUCCUUCUGUGUCGGGGGGAUGGGGAGGCUCUCCUGUGCAUUGUAGCAUGUUCAGCAGCAUCCCUGGCCUCUACCCACUAGAUGCUAGGAGCAUCCUCCUCCUACUUGUGACAAUUAAAAAUGACUCCAGACAUUGCAAAAUGUCCCCUGGGGGGCAAAAUUGCCCCUGGUUGGAAGCCACCAAAUAAUACGGAUUCAGCACUCUUUAAAAACCUGGGAUGCUUCAGUGACUAAGACAGACCCCACUAUUAGCACCCCACACUUUCUUUUCCUGGCCUUCUUGGAGUACAUUCUAGUGGGAGGAGACAGACAAUAAAUACAAUAAAUACCUAAAUUAUGCUAUUCUAGAAAGUGGCAUGUGCUAUGGGAAAAACUACAGCAGCUGAGGGGUGAUCACGGGUGCUGGACGGGGUUGCGAUUUUAAAUAGGGUGGUUAGGGUAAACCUUGUUGGAAAAGUGCUUUAAUAUUUACGUAAUGCUCACUAGACCAGGAAUGGCCACUGACUUUUUGGGGUAGGUGGGAAGGCCUAGGAAGUCUGAGUCUUCCUCCCACGGCUUCCUCCUUCUCUCCAGAACCCAAUGGGCCUCAGUUACGUGGAUCAAGCCUGGACGUGUUUCUCUAUGCAACUACCAUGGGAUAGACUCUCCUUCUAGAGGGUUCUUUCACUUGGAGGAAGGAAAAUUGUCCUUCCCAGCAUGGCUGCUCACCAGAGAAAGGAGAGAAUGAACACACAUCUGAAAUCAGAACCUCAGGGGUCGAGUCUCCUGCCACUGCUUUUAAUUACUAUGUGUGCAUAGUAAAAGAGAUAUGCAACCCAGAACAAACACAAGAUAAAUAUGAUAGACUGUUCACCUACAUCCUGCCAAUAUUAGCCCCUCUCUACCCUAUUCCCUAGUGACAAUAAUUAUUGUAAUUCCAGAUUACACACACACACACACACACACACACACUACAUACUACUCAACAAUGGACUUUUUUGUUUUAAAAAUAUUCUAGACAUAUUUCAACAUCAAAAUAUGUAUAAUUAUAUUACCAUUUCUCUCUCAUUUUUAUUAUAAGAAUCAUACAAGUGUAUGACAGAAAAUGUGAAAAUUAAGAAAAAUACAAAAAAAGAUCAUAAUCUGCCAGUAGCCUGAAAUCUCAUUAUUCAGAGGUGAUGAUUAAUAUUCAGAAAAAAUAUAUAAAAUUUACUCCUGAAAUCACACUUCCCCAAGUGUGCCCCCCCACGCCCCGGCAUCACAUCAGAGUGCAAAAGGGAAGAACUGGGUGCUGCAGGCCAGGUUCACCCCAACGUCUGUGGCUCAGGAGGC